This is a long non-coding RNA of Aptenodytes forsteri (emperor penguin), 7844 nucleotides long. RefSeq lists it as uncharacterized. Lineage: Eukaryota; Metazoa; Chordata; Aves; Sphenisciformes; Spheniscidae. The record is from RefSeq and is a predicted model, not a curated record. The transcript has 3 exons.
CCAGGAUCCCCCUCCCUGCAGAGGCGAAUGGCACCAGCGACCCGCGAGCAUCUUCGCUGCAUGGGGCUCCCCGGUGCUGCCCCCCCGCCUGCGCAGAGCCCGGCCGGCGGAUGGGAGCUCACCCGAUUCUUGCACAAGAUGGUGCGGUGCCGGCUGAGCAGGUGGAUCAGGGUGUAACUCCGGGGAGUUGGGAGGUGACAGCAAGACUGACAACCAGGACAGCAGGACAGCCAAAAUCUCUGCUACAAACUCAGCUGGGAUAUGGGAGGCUUGAGCCACAGGACUGCCUUCUGUGGAGAUCAAAGCAGGGAUGUGCAGGCGAAUUUCUGUCAGCCCAGCGACCAGCAAUGAAGAUGGCAACUCUGCCUGGAAGUGCUGAGGACACAACCAGCUUUGGGCUUGGUCCUUCUGGCCGAGGAAGUCUCCCGAUUAUGCAGUGGAGUGGUAACUUUGCUUUCUCAUACAGCAGGGAACAUUAUUCCAUAGCCUUUCAUCAUAUCGAGGCUUAAACAAGUUUAAGGAUAUGGUAGCAUAAGCAUUUAAUCUGUAUUACUCACUUGCUGACAUCUCAAGCGUCAGGUCCGGUUGUUUAGCAACAACCGCUGGGUUCAGAACCGGCUCAAACAUACUGCGUCCGCCGUCUCCAUUACUUCAGCAGCAGCCUGUCCUCUGAACGGCAGUCUGAGAGAGAGGGAGAGAAAGAAGGGCUGUAUUUACACACAGACACCCACCCCGACCGAAUUUCGGUUGUUUGGUUACAAAGGCCGUACGCGCUGCGGUUUUAUCCCCGACUCCAUUCCUUUGCGCAGUACCGUAGAGGGGAGGAUGCCAUUUCCAACGGCAGUGCGGUGGUAGGAACAGGGGGGGAAGAAGAAAACAGACAGUAGGUGCCACUCCCCACUUUUUUUCCUCUUUCCCAUCUCCACCUUUCUUGCCUCCCCUCGUUUUCUGCCAGAUUCCAUAGGGAAUUUCAGACUCUUACUGCAGUCGUCACAACCCCUCCUGACUCACUGAGCCUUCGCUGGCUGUAGCUGGCUCCCUUGGAGCAUCCUCGCCUCCUGCAGCGCCAGUUCCGCAGAGCAGGGGAACAACAGGAAUAGCAGCAACAACGGUGGUCCCUGCAGCAAGCUGGACAGGCAUAAAUACACACACAUAUAGGAACAGUACAAGGCAGCCGCGGAGGUAAUUCUGUACAGCCAGGAGCUGGACUAAGAAACGAUGCUCGGUUGCAUGGAAGACGGGUGGGUUGAGUCUGUUUUACUGAGUGCUGUCUGAACGGACAACCCUUUGCAUUUUUCCCCAUCGCAGCUGUGGGGUGGAGGACCCCAUUAAUUUGCGAAGCUCGUGCUUCUUCAUGGCAUUUCUCAGUCCUUUGGAAGGAGGUGCAACUGGCAGCCGGUAUACUUGCUCAGGCAUAUGCGUACUUUUUGAGUAUCUGUGUUCGGCGUAGGGAUGCAUUUGUUGUUAGUCCUUUUGCUACCAUCUUUUUGCCACAGUGAUAGUUUGAUUGUGGCUAACUGCAGGGAGGGUAAGGAGAGAGAGAUAAAAGAGGAGUUAUUUCAAUGUUAAACUUCAGCUGUAAAUCUCAUUACUCAGGAAUUGAGGUUACUGUCAGCAGGUAAAUCUGUGGGACUGGCAAGAAACAAGGCUAAGAAGGGGACACGGCAUAUUUCUGUAGGACGGUAGCGAUUUUGCGCAUAGGGAUGGUAUUGUUACUGUAUGUUAGCUGUACAUGGCUAACUGUUCCAUAAUGGUGUUCUGCGUAUUGCCACAAAAGGACUUGGGCAAGCUGUGAUUUCUUCCUCCCUCUGACACUUGUGUGUGUGACAUUGUGUCAGCUGAUUCAUUUUUGUGUCUUUUGGUUUCCUUCCUUUGUAAAGUGGGGUUUAUGAUAUCUCUCAGCCUUAGUGCGGCAUUAUGACGCAGUGUUCAUUAAUGCGUUGGGUCUGUUGGCAAAAUACAUGCAAUUUUCUUGGGAGUUUUGACUGAUCAAGGACUACAAAAUUUGGUAAAGGAAGUUAGGGAUUGCAAAUGCUCACGACAUAAAUUUAAAAGCAUUACUGUCUUACUCUUCUUUGAUAUCGAAGGAAGGCUCUCUGACUGAUGAGACAGCCACGAUCUCUUUCUGCACUUGUUUUGCCGAUGGUCAUGUUACAUCUGUGACGCAGUCCAAUUUUGCUGUUGGUUCCUGCCUGUGCUUUACGGAGUUCAGCUGAUGAGGGCACAAGCUUGAAUACGGUUAGGAACAUUAAUUUAAUAUUGAUGUUGAAGUUUGCAACCAUACCUGAAGUGGUAGGGAUAUCGGCAUCCACCUAUUUCACCACCCACAAACGGUGAAGGAAUUCGAAUGAACACAACAGCACCCCUAGCCAUUUUGUUGCUCGCAGAGUAGACUCUAAGCCUGCAGCGCUGCUGCUGCUGCUGCUGCUGUUAAUUUCCAUGUCAUACAAAUACAGCGUGGAGCUCUGUGUCAGGAGCUUUACUGAUGCUGUGAGAACCUUAAAGUCUACGAGCAAAUGUUUUUCUUUUCUUAUUUGGGAAAAUUCAUUAAAAUGUCCAAAUACCAAGUAUUCUACCUUCACUCCUCUUACAAAUCACUUCCAGACCUAUCCAGAAAAUUCGCUGCUACUGUGUAUUUUUUCUAAAACUUGUUCACGGUGUUUUCUUAAGGUUUAAUAUGGGUGUGGCUAGGGGGGGGCGCGGGUAAGAUUUAAGUCAGUUAAGUAUCUCUAUCGCUGAUGCUAAUGGACAGAGAUGUAGGCAAGAGAUACGAGUUGCCCGUAUCCUCUAUAUAUCUGUAUGUAGAUAUAGAUAGUCCCAAGCCUAGGUUGCGAAGAUGCCCUUGUUAUGGAACAAGAAGGGAGUACUCUAUUCUGUUCUCACCCACCCAAAAGUUUUGGUGCAAAGGCGGCAGUAGAAACGGCCAACGUGGGAAUCUCUCAAAAUGGUUUCAACAGCAUUCAGAGAUGCCAGUGCCGUUUAUACUGGCAUGGCUCCGAGAGAGGUACCGUGAGCUGCCUGCUGCAAGGUCAUUCCCCUGACUCACUGUCAGCGACCAGUUGGUUCAGGAACUCCCAAUCCACAUUUCUUACAACUGUGGCAGUGCUUGAGUCCUGAACCUGGAGGUGAGGCUUGAAAAUUAGUGCUACUGCAGUAGUGGGCCACUGAGUCCAAAAGUGUAGAUCCAAAAAAUCCUGCAUCUCUCAAGCGUUUUAAAAUCCCUAUCUAUAAUUUGUUUCUUGAGCUAACUACAAAAACUUUGCACUAGUUCCCUCAUCCCCUUUUUCCCCAAGACUUCCUCUGGACUGCUGGGAAUCAGGAGCGGCAUGUAUUUAAGGACUAGUCAUCAACUUACACUGUGUUCCAGAAAAAAAAAUAUGAAAAAAGUGUCUGCAUAUAUUUGCAUUUCUGUUCCUGUAGUCGUUAUCAGGUGGACUCCGCAGGCUGCUCUAAGUUCACCACCGUCUGUGAAGCUAGUGUUGUCUCCCAUGAGCUUUCAGUUUCAGGUACCUCAGCCCAAUAACUGCCUUGUCCCCUCCCAGGUUUCCACAUUUUUCUCCGGUGUUCCUAUUUGUCCAUGUCACUAGUAUUUUCAGUUGACUCAGGGCAACAUCAGCCAUGGGUAUGUUAGGGCUGGCUCUAGUCUUCUCAGCUUCAUAGGCAGCAGUGGAGUGGUUAAUGCCUCAAGGAUCUUGAGCAAAAUAACUUAUUUUGUCCCCAUCUUUGCAAUAACAAAGUUCAAUUUGGGGGCAUGUUAUCUGGCUCCUUUCGAACAGAGAGGAACGUGGGGGCCAGUGCAGGCCAAGCACGGACACGAGUGGAUCCUUCCUGCUAGCCUACCUACCUGUUUUGCUAGCCGACCUCCCCAAGCCUCCAGCCCUGGGCAGCUUCCUGCCUUGACCGUGCCUUAGCCGUUAGUAUCAUUAUUCUCUAGUUUUCAAAGGGAGAGAACCUGGCUGCUAAUCCUGAUGCCAGUGACGACUCUUCGCCUACAGGGAGGCAUAUGUGAUAGCUUGUCUGCUAAAAACUGAGCCAACACAGUGUGAUUCAGACCUUAAGCUUUCCAAGGAAGAGAGCUAUUUCUGAGUUAAGCACAUCUCUUCAGCUCCCCACACAAACACUUUAUCCAGUGCAAAUGGUGCAUAGUAGGUGUCCAUCAGCAGCCACUGGUUUUGUAUUUGGAUAUACAGCUCAAAUGCUUCUUAAACAUUGACGAUGGCUCUCAAACAUACAGUGAAGUUUCAGUGAUAGACAGAAUGACGGGAAUCCUGGGAACAGGUACAAACCAAACAGCUCACGUGCUCAGGGGAGUCAGCCAGGAGUUUGGUCAAUGCUUUUCUCCAGCUUUUUUGACAGGUCCUUGCUACUGUGGAUAGUGUUAAGAUAUGGCAGGGUACUGAAGGCAUGUUUUCAAAUGUCUGGUUUAAGGGCAGGUUAUACUUCAGUGAACAUCUGGCAGUAUUUGUUUCCUUAUGCUCUUCCCUGGCACAGGACAGUCUUUUGUCUCUUAAAUGACACAAAGAAAAAUAUGACUUCCCUUGACAUUACCUAAAGUAGUGGGAACGGUAGUGUUGGGGGAACACCAUGUUCCUGAACUGACUAUACAAAUCACAACAAUAAUCUCUCUGUGACUGCCUUCAAGAGCUGCAAUCAAUACUUUAUAUUCUAAGGUGAUGCUUAGGUACAGAAGCUAGGAACACAAAAUUACUUUUCUGGUUUCAGCUACUUUGGUGGAUAAUUUUUUUUAGCAUAGUUAGUUUUGUAAUGUGCUGUUCAGUCAAGCUGCGUAUGGCUAAAUUUGAUGAGUUUUCAGCGCUGCAACUUCCUACUGCUCUUCCAUGACCUGGGUCAUGUAAGUGCGAUGCUUUUCUUCCCCUGUGUAAGUUUGCCCAGUUUCACCUCAUCGUUCCUUGUGAAAUCUGAAAUCCUCAAUAGGAUUCAGUGGUUCAGUAGUUCCUGUGCCCUCCAAACAGGCUGUGGUUUUGCCUAGGAACUCUCAUGAAAGCAAAGGUGGAAGAAAACUGUAUGACUCCAGGCAAGUCAAAGCAAUUUCAGAUGAGCAGACGGGAAGCGGAAGAUUAGAAAUUGUAGCCCUAGUAUCUAGCACUCCUAGAAUGGUCACCAUGCUAAAACCUCUCCCUUCAGUUCAGAAUAGCUUUGGGGCAAGCAAUAGCAAAUAGCAAGUAAGUGUUAUAUUUUACUUAUCAGUCUGAAACAAAGUUCUGGAUUUAAAAAAAACAGGUCUUGUGAAUAAAUCCUAAUUAUUUUAGUGAUGUCGUGCUGUUAUGAACUAUCUCCAAGUUUCUCCAAAAGAUCUGUAAUCUGCAAAUUAAAGGUCUCUUGCACUUUUUUUAGCCUACUUUGUUAGACCCAAGCACCACAGAAAACGUGGAUCAGUACGGCAGAACCAUAAAAAGAAGGCUGGUAUGGCCCAUCACAUCACCCAGUGUGCCUGGGUCAAUGCUAGUGUUGAACUAUCUUGCCCUCAAAAUGACAUUCAUUGCAUCCAAACCACCAAUACCUGUUUGCCAAUGCUGACUGCUAGACCGUGGCUCAGCAUUGUUUAGGAGAAUCCUGGCUGGCACCAAACCGGGUGGGAAAGAGCUCUAUCGAAACUCAUCCAAAACUCCCCCAAAGCAGCAAGAGUUAACCACGCACUAGUGUGCCUUCAGUGAGGCCACCAUGCAAAGAGAAAAGGCCAAGAUGCACCUCUCAGACCUCAUCACAAGCCAAAUUUCAGCCAUCACUGACACUGCCAAUCACCUGGCCUGCGCUAAAUUAUCUGGAAAAGAGCUGCUUCUCCCUACGUUAAACAAAUGAGCAAACAAAAACCUGGCCUUCCCCUCACCCCCAAACCCUUGAACAAUUGGACCAUUUUAAAAAAAUGGGUUAGAAUGAUAGGCAGCUUGGUGACAGUUCAGCACAGUUAGACAAAUGCUAGUGAGUGCUCUGACAGAUUACCCUUAAUAGGAAUUGAAAUUAGUGACUCAAAUGUCAAGCAGGCCUGACUGUCCCAUUGCUCAAAUAGAGCUGAAUGGGACAAAAGGCUCCACAGGCUUCUCCCCGCAGCGUGCCACACUCCGGUGUUCAGACUACUUUCGGGUUUUGGGGGUGGGGGGGCAGAUAGCACAAGGGUUGCAGACCCAGAGCGCCUGGCUUUUAACUUUACUAUUUAUACUGCAAUUGUAAGGCUACGAUAGUAGGACUAAUGGAAUAGACUAUGUUCACUCAGGAAUGUGAUCUGGAGUUUUUAUUCUGGUCCUAAUCAAGCAAAAAAAAAAAAAAAAAAAAAAAAAAAAAAAAAAAAAAAAACAAACUCCAUUAUGCUUUUUUAAACUCAUGAGGGAAGUACAUGUUUUUGCUGCCCAUAAUAGCAGCAGCAUCUCUAGAGCCAUCUUCUAGUCACAGUCAUCAACUCCACUAAGCCAUGCAGCAUCUACCCUACCUUUACUCAGCCUAGGUCAGUGCUACUGCUGACACAGAAAGCGUUACACACUAAUGACUGGCUGCAAGUUAGGGCACAUUUGUCCAUACCUGACCUACGCAACACCACACAGUAACAGAACUGCACAACAAACAGAUGCAGUUACACGCUCCCCCGGGCUGAGGAAGCUUUUUUGAAACCUUAGAAGUUCACUCAAUUCCCCUUACAGGUCACCACUUGUACUGUCACACCCCUCUGUCCUGCACCUGGCCAUGGUCUGACUCAUUCCUUGACUGUGGGGAUGAUGCAUCGAGCUCAGAUUUUCUGCAUGUAAAAUGGGAAUAUUUUCUCCAGGGGAGACCAGUCUCUGACGAACCAUGAGUUUCACUCCGCGAUUUGAAAAUGGAGGAGAAAAAUUACGAUGCACACAGGGUCACGCAGAGAUCUGUUUUGCUUACUGUGGAAGCCCAAGAACUGCCUUAAUUUAUAAGCUGUAGGUUGUGAAAAAUCAGGUCUGUGACAUCCCGGCUUGCCUUGUUCCUGCAGACUAGAUUAAAGGUCUUAGGCUAGGGAGGAAGUUCCCUUUCACAGGGGAGGCAGGGAUUUCUUCCCUUUUUGCCUUUGUCUCAUGUAGAAGGUAUAAAGCAGUGUGAAGCCUGUGCAAGGCUUUGAGAUGUUCCUCUGAAAGAAGCUACAGAACAGUACUGCUACUAAAAUGUGUCUGAAAAAAGGGGAAAAAAGCAGAAUGAUAAUAUUGUACUUUUUCUAUUAUUUAUUGAAAACUCCACAACACUAUAGCUGAUAGUAUUUGCUUGUCUCCACACAUAUGUGUGUAUGUGCAUGUCCUUAUGUAGACAUUCAACACACACCAGCAAACGUUUGAGACAAGCACUGGUUUCUUUUUCUGCGUGUGUGCAUAUUAAUAGUUGAGUGCUGCAUAUCACAGCAUCUUGAACUGCGCUCUUUUUUUCUCCUCCCCUCCGCAUGCUGCCUGCCCAAGCAUGCUGUUAGGUUUGGAAAGAACAGCAUACACUGUCACAGACGUAUCCUUCAUAAAAGGUGUACCUGCAGUUUGGCAGAAAGGGCUGACACCUUCUGGCUGCUUGGAAGGAAGGGGAGCUUGUUAAGGCAUAGGACAAUCUUCAGGUAGCCUGGAGGAGGGGCAGCAGCAUCUUAAUUAUGCUGAAGUGAAACCUGGUUUUAUCAAGCUAUACAUAAUCAAUGACCAAUCAAAAUAUUGGUCUUCAACUGCUGCAUGAUAUUUCUGGAGAGGGAAGGGGAAGGUAUGCAUAGGUGUUCAGACUCAGUUCAGACUCUGGAAGUCUCACACCUCUACAGAAGCUCCCAUUUUCAGCAGCACAAACAUAAGUGACAUUUCCACCAACUGUUUUUGAAAACCCUAAUAAAGAUUUCUUUUUAC